GAACUGCGAAACGUGAUGUGACCUGCACUCUUCGUGAAUCAUCCAAUCUUUGAACGCACAUUGCGCCCGCCAGCCAUUCUGGCGGGCAUGCCUGUCCGAGCGUCAUUUCAACCAUCAAGCCCCGUGCUUGUGUUGGGGAGCUGCGGGCCCUCCGGGGCGCGCAGGCCCUGAAAUGCAGUGGCGGGCUCGCUGACACACCGAGCGUAGUAGCAUAAUUCUCGCUCUGGGCGUGCUGCGGGUACCGGCCGUGAAACGACCUCUCGAGAGAGAGGACACCCAAAGGUUGACCUCGGAUCAGGUAGGAAUACCCGCUGAACUUAAGC
RNAcentral lists this unclassified non-coding RNA (323 nucleotides) under plant metagenome. Its description in RNAcentral is "partial contains 5.8S ribosomal RNA, internal transcribed spacer 2, and large subunit ribosomal RNA". The stretch from base 1 to 105 matches the Rfam family "5.8S ribosomal RNA", at positions 50 to 154 of the family's 154-position model. The record is from RNAcentral.